Molecule: long non-coding RNA, 3125 nt
Filed under: Equus asinus (donkey)
Lineage: Eukaryota; Metazoa; Chordata; Mammalia; Perissodactyla; Equidae
Description: lncRNA (ENSEASG00005035894.1)
Source: RNAcentral
AGUGAUCUCACUCUCCCACAUCAUGUCUCUGCUUACAAACGUGUCACCUUUCACAUAGAGGGAUAAUGUCACUGACUCAGCCUUGCUGGGACUGACCACUGGCUUCAUCUUCUAAUCCUAGGGCUUGACUGGCGCUGCUCCACCUGCACCUGGCUGCACGGUCAGCAGGCACCUGUGUUGCCCGCAGCCACAAAGGGCAAGGAAUGACAGGCCCAGAGUUCCCUAGGAUGGAGCGGCUGUGGAUGGUGGCAUGCAUCUGGAAACUGCACUCUAAACCAGGCCUAGGCUCUGUCUGAGGCUGCCCAGAACUUUCCUGGUGGCCUGAGAGCAGCUGCAGAUGGACAGGCCCGGCAGGAGUUGCACAGAGAACAUCCCUACAGUGAAUCUUUGCCCAGAGGAGCCUGAGCACAGGAUGCCAGGGCAGCGCCUUGUGGGGUCUUGAGAUGGGGGAACCGCGAGCAAGAGCGGGACGCGAGGCAAAAUAAAAGGCGUAGCAGAGCCCGCCGCCAGGGACGUCAUUCGCUGGGCGGCCAUCAUGAAGUAUCAGACUGCCGGGCUGAAACGCGUGUUUCCUCCGUCUGGAGGCUCGGAGUGCGAGACCCAGGCGGCGCAGGUUUGGUUUCUCCAAGGCCCAUCUCCUGGGUUGCAGAUGGCCGCCUGCUCCGCGUGUCCUCACGUGGUCUUCCUUCUGUGUCUGUCUGUCCCCAUCUUCUUAUAAGGACACGUCGGAUUAGGACCCACCCUCAUGACCUCAUUUUAACCUACUUACCUCUCUCGGCCCUACCUUCAGAUAGAGUCACACUCUGAGGUUCUAGGGGUUAGGACUCAACAUGCGAGUCUGGCGGGGACACGGCUCACCCCAGAACCACCAGCUAGAGUCAGGAAGCCUGUGAGUUGGUGCGCGCGGGGGACCCGCGGCCGCGGCCCGGAACCCGCACCUGCCCACGCAGGCCCGGCGGCCGGCUGGAGACCCCCGCGGGCCAGCGUGAUCAUCCGGAGCGCCGGGCGCGGGCUCGUGGGGAGCCGCGGGGCCGCCUCCUCUCUUCGUGGGGCUGCUGCACACGGUCUCUCAGCGCCUCGGGCCCGUCCCCGCACCUGCGAGCCUGCGGGGGCGCCCUGGAGAGCGGCGGGGGCGGCCCUCCCCGUGGGAGCGGGGGCGGGGGCGGCCCCCCCGGGGGACGGGGGCGCAGGCGGGGGGGCGUGGGCGGGGGGGACCGGCCCUCCGGGGGUGGCGUGGGCAGGGGGAUCGCCCCUCCCGCGGUGGGGCGGGGGCAGCCACGGCGGCGAGGGAGGCGGAGGAUGGCUGUGCGCGGCGGCGAUGGGCCGAGGCUCCUGCCCGGACGACGCACCUCACGGCGGCGCCCGGACAGCCGGGCUGCACGGCCGGGGCUUCGCCCAGAGGCUGCACAGACACUGCGUGCUGACCGCUGGCCGGCGACCGCGGACACCGCGGGGUCCCAGCCGCGGCGUCUCGGCCGCUCCCCCGGCGGCGGCGCGGGGCGUGCGCCUCCUGGCGAGCAGCUCAGUUAGCUCCCAGCCCCGGGCGGCGCUGUGGCCGCCUGUCACAGACGGGGAAGCCGAGGCGCUGAGCGCCUAAGCGACGGGCCCGAAGCGAGAGCCAGCGCGGCGGCCUCCGCUCGCGGCUGCGGCCCCUGCGGGCGUGUGUCGCCGGCCGGAGAGGAAGGCGGGGGCCGCCUGCGCCGAGCUGCUUCCUGCACCUCGUCGCUCAGUCCCUCCGGGGACGCUCUGCGCGACGGGCUCGUGCGGACGCAGCGCGGUCCUGGCGGGGCGGUGGAGGCGCGGGGCGCACCGCGGCCCCGGCUGCCUGAGCCCGGCACGGAGACCCUGGGGCCGGCCUGCGCUCCGCCGGAGGCCCUGCCGCCCCCGGGAGGCGGCCUGCGGGACUCGGGAGGGCGGGGGCCCGGGAGGCUGAGGGGGGCGGCGCAGCGAGGCCGGGCCGCGGGGCGACGGCCGCGGGAGGUCAGGGCGCCUGCGGGGCGGGGACUGCGGGCUGUCUUCUCCUGCAGAGCCGCCGGGCCUCCCAGCCAGCCCCGCCUGUGAGGACGCCAGGCCCCCGUCGUCCCGUCGCCGGGCGGCCCCGGGAUCCCAAGAUGCCUGCGGUGAAAGCUCUUCCGCAGGAAGCAGCCCAGUGCAGUGUCCCUUGCCUGAGAGGGUGAAGCUAAGAGGCAGAAACAGUCACCCACUCGUUGCCCCGACGCACUCAAGGGUGGGCUUGGAAGCGGCUAACUGUGGUUCCAAAUUGUUCUUUUCCUUCUGUUAUGUCAGGGAGGUGCCGCCAGCCCCGCCGGGCCAGGCCAGGCCUCCGCAGAGGGCUCCCCUGUGCCUUUGCCUUGUGGAUGCCGAGCUCCUCCGGGAGGAGGGACCCAUGACUCUGGACGUGAUUCCCCACGCCUCCCGUUAGCUGCAAUAUCGCUGCUUUGCGAGACGACUGCUUCCGGUGGAGAGGCUGACUCACCGGCCAGCAGGGAGCCCGCUUUGGUCUCAAAAGGACAGAACCAAACUAACGAAGACUUAAUUUUCUCUGACCCUUAAUUUGAACGCAGCUGUUCCUUUGUUUUGACUGAUCCUCCAUGGCUUUGACAAUACUUUGACAAGUAGAAAUGGCAAGCCACAGGAGAUACUGGGGGACACGAGGAAGCCGUUUGGUGCAAACCUAAUUCGGCCCGACUUUGUUUUUCCACAAGGCCUGACGUGGCCGUUGAGCAUGCGCUGUACAUCUGCUUAAGCAUUUGCUGUGUCCCACAGACAAGAACAAAGGCCCUUAAGAUAAAGGUGCAGCUUCCCCCACAUGGCAUUUCCUUAAGGACAAGCAUCUCUCCCUGGGGUGGGAACUGAUUGCUAUGCUCACCUGUGACCACCCAGCUCGAGACAACAGACCUGCCACCCUGCCGUGUCCACCAGGACACCAGACCUACUACCUGCUGUGUCUGUCCAUCGCUGUUCCGACAGAGCAGUCUCAUGACUAUUGGAAAAGGGACAUUUCAAGCACAUGUGAAACAUGCUCUUUGGAUGUAUAUAACCACUCUGUACACCCCAUGUCUUCGGUGCCCUUCCUUCCUUGGGGAAGGAAGACCCAGGCCAUGGUCCUCACAUUUUGGUUCAGA